Molecule: small RNA, 28 nt
Filed under: Bombyx mori (domestic silkworm)
Lineage: Eukaryota; Metazoa; Arthropoda; Insecta; Lepidoptera; Bombycidae
Description: ovarian small RNA-18021
Source: RNAcentral
UAAAACAACGCACAUUGCUCGAUGCACU